This 569-nucleotide ribosomal RNA is filed under the name Pratylenchus mediterraneus. RNAcentral describes it as "partial large subunit ribosomal RNA". It matches the Rfam family "Eukaryotic large subunit ribosomal RNA", at positions 490 to 934 of the family's 3401-position model. The record is from RNAcentral. Lineage: Eukaryota; Metazoa; Nematoda; Chromadorea; Rhabditida; Pratylenchidae.
AGGUGUGUGCGCUGAGCUGUUCGGGGCGGUGGAAUGAACUUGGUUUUGAGGCCAGCUUGCUGGUACCCGGACUGAGCGAGUGCCAUUCGCUUUGGGCUUGAGCAGGGGACCUGGCUUACGGGCUCUUAUAGGGCGCCGAGCUGGUCGUUGUGAAGCGGUCUCGCAUGCGACACGUGCCGUGCGUGCUCAGUUUUGUCUCGUGUGAGAUCUCACAUGUUUCCCAGGGCUCAGUGUAAAAGCUGGUCAUCUAUCCGACCCGUCUUGAAACACGGACCAAGGAGUUUAUCGUGUGCGCAAGUCAUUGGGUGUUGAAAACCCAGAGGCGCAAUGAAAGUGAAGGCAUCCCUUGCGGAGCCGACGUGCGAGCCCGGGCACCACGGUGCCAGGAUGCAGCAUGGCCCCAUCCUGACUGCUUGCAGUGGGGUGGAGGAAGAGCGUACGCGGUGAGACCCGAAAGAUGGUGAACUAUUCCUGAGCAGGAUGAAGCCAGAGGAAACUCUGGUGGAAGUCCGAAGCGAUUCUGACGUGCAAAUCGAUCGUCUGACUUGGGUAUAGGGGCGAAAGACUAA